AGCACGGGGGGAAUCUGCUUCACUCGGUUGCCGAAUAUGUGCACACCUGAUGAUUUCUUACGGCACACUUGUGUGCCGCGGAACAGCGGUUCGGAAUCACUGGAUUGGAGCACAGUUAUGGGGCGAAUCUGAUUGGCUCCUUGUGUUUUGGCUUGAUGUAAAUCCGCCGAGUCCGCUGGCGGGACUCCGUCUCUCUGGCUCUUCGCCUGAGAUAAACACUACUUCACCUAAGAGACUUUAGUAUCCAGUUCUUCGUUGACCUUCAGCAUUCAGUUGUUUGUCUUUCCCUUUUCAGGCUAAAACCUGAGAAGCCAUCACCAUAUUGUUGUUUCAUAUCAGAGUUUCCUGUGUCCAGCAUCUUCAAGACAGACUAAGCUAACUUUUCAUAUUUUUUGCACAUUUAUAUUUAGGUUAGGUUAGGAGUAGGUUAGGUUUAUAGUAGAGUAUUUAGUUUGUAUAGUUUAGCUUUUUAUGCUGGUCUAGGGACAGUUAAGUUAGCAAAUUAAUUUAGUUGAAAUCACUUACAGUUGCAUAUUAUUGUUAUUGUGAUAUUUUGUGAGUUUUCGUUGUGCAGGCUAUUGUAUAUUGCUGGACCAAGUGAGACGAGGAAGACCACUGCUUCCAAGAUGCCGCGCUCAGAAAGUGCGUUGGACAAGUCUCGACCUUGCAGAUCCUGCCCCACUUAGCCCAACCACUUCCGACCAUUGGGUACCUCAAAGACCUCCGUCAACCAGCCGGCUGUGGAUGAUGGAUAACGCACCCACAACUCCUUCUCCAGUCUGCAAGGUUCUGAAAAUACAGACACCCCCACAGUCCAGUAACAGCUGGAUGACCUCUGGACCCACCUGCCCCCGUUCACCAGUUGAAAAGAUAGGCUUUUUAAAAAAUUCUUCAAUUGUUAAUUCUGCACAAAGUGAUACACAGAACAUUGUAUGUAUUCCAUUUCAACAAACACAAACAUGAAAUGUAUAUUUAAAUACAUGACCUGAUGCAAAUCAUACUAAACAUCAUCUUUUUUUUUUAAACCAACCAUUGCACACACUGGAGAGGUUACAUCUUGAUGGUAAUUUUAAGAUUAACAAAACUUUUGUGAGAUUUGAUAUUGUUGUUUCUGGGGAGGGGGCGGAGAGGGUAAGUCUAAAAAUUGCAUGCAAGAGACCAACACCGGCGUCUCAGGGAAAGCUAUCUGUAUACACAACUAUCAAUCUACUUGGUUGCUUAAAAAUUUUACAAUAGUUUUGCAAAUCCUGACCCAGAGAGAAGCACAUCAAACAAACAAUAAAAGCAAUGGUAGAUUUUCAAGGCCUUUCAAUGACAUUAACAUUAUUUUCAAUGACAUUGAUUUUGCAAUUAACAUUAGUUUUAUGCGCAAGGUCUCAGUGGCAGUUGCCGGUUCACGUGGUCUCAGCGGCAGAGUUACUGGUUUGCAUGGUCUCAGAGGCAGAGUUACUGGUUUGCAUGGUAUCAGCGACAAAGGUAUUGGUUCACAUGGUCUCAGCGGCAGAGUUACUGGUUCACAUGGUCUCAGCGGCAGAGUUACUGGUUCACAUGGUCUCAGCGACAGAGUCACCGGUUCACAUGGUCUCUCAGCGACAUAGUCGCCGGUUCGCAUGGUCUCGGUGGCAGUCGCUGGUUCGCAUGGUCUCAGUGGCAGUCGCAGGUUUGCAUGGUCUCAGUGGCAGUCACCGGUUUACAUGGUCUCAGUGGCAGAGUUACUGGUUUGCAUGGUCUCAGAGGCAGAGUUACUGGUUUGCAUGGUCUCAGCGACAAAGGUACUGGUUCACAUGGUCUCAGCGGCAGAGUUACUGGUUCACAUGGUCUCAGCGGCAGAGUUACUGGUUCACAUGGUCUCAGCGACAGAGUCACCGGUUCACAUGGUCUCUCAGCGACAUAGUCGCCGGUUCGCAUGGUCUUGGUGGCAGUCGCCGGUUCGCAUGGUCUCAGUAGCAGUCGCAGGUUCGCAUGGUCUCAGUGGCAGUCGCCGGUUCGCAUGCUCUCAGUUGCAGAGUUACUGGUUCACAUGGUCUCAGCGGCAGAGUUACUGGUUCGCAUGGUCUCAGCGACAGAGUCACCGGUUCACAUGGUCUCUCAGCGACAUAGUCGCCGGUUCGCAUGGUCUCGGUGGCAGUCGCCGGUUCGCAUGGUCUCAGUAGCAGUCGAAGGUUCGCAUGGUCUCGGUGGCGCAGGUUCGCAUGGUCUCAGUGGCAGUCACCGGUUUACGUGGUCUCAGCAGCAGAGUUACUGGUUUGCAUGGUCUCAGAGGCAGAGUUACUGGUUUGCAUGGUAUCAGCGACAAAGGUAUUGGUUCGCAUGGUCUCAGCGGCAGAGUUACUGGUUCACAUGGUCUCAGCGGCAGAGUUACUGGUUCACAUGGUCUCAGCGACAGAGUCACCGGUUCACAUGGUCUCUCAGCGACAUAGUCGCCGGUUCGCAUGGUCUCGGUGGCAGUCGCCGGUUCGCAUGGUCUCAGUGGCAGUCGCAGGUUUGCAUGGUCUCAGUGGCAGUCACCGGUUUAUGUGGUCUCAGCGGCAGAGUUACUGGUUUGCAUGGUCUCAGAGGCAGAGUUACUGGUUUGCAUGGUCUCAGCGACAAAGGUACUGGUUCACAUGGUCUCAGCGACAAAGGUACUGGUUCACAUGGUCUCAACGGCAGAGUUACUGGUUCACAUGGUCUCAGCGGCAGAGUUACUGGUUCACAUGGUCUUUCAGCGACAUAGUCGCUGGUUUGCAUGGUCUUGGUGGCAGUCGCCGGUUCGCAUGGUCGCAGUAGCAGUCGCAGGUUCGCAUGGUCUCAGUGACAAAGCUACUGGUUCACAUGGUCUAAGCGGCAGUUGCAGGUUCGCAUGGUCUCAGUUGCAGAGGUACUGGUUCGCAUGGUCUCAGAGGCAGAGUUACUGGUUUGCAUGGUCUCAGCGACAAAGGUACUGGUUCACAUGGUCUCAGCGGCAGAGUUACCGGUUUGCAUGGUCUCAUCGGCAGAGUCACCGGUUCACAUGGUCUCUCAGCGACAUAGUCGCCGGUUCGCAUGGUCUUGGUGGCAGUCGCCGGUUCGCAUGGUCUCAGUAGCAGUCGCAGGUUCGCAUGGUCUCAGUGGCAGUCACCGGUUUACGUGGUCUCAGCGGCAGAGUUACUGGUUUGCAUGGUCUCAGAGGCAGAGUUACUGGUUUGCAUGGUAUCAGCGACAAAGGUAUUGGUUCACAUGGUCUCAGCGGCAGAGUUACUGGUUCACAUGGUCUCAGUGACAAAGUUACUGGUUCGCAUGGUCUCAGUGGCAGUCGCAGGUUCGCAUGGUCUCAGUGGCAGUCACCGGUUUACGUGGUCUCAGCGGCAGAGUUACUGGUUUGCAUGGUCUCAGAGGCAGAGUUACUGGUUUGCAUGGUCUCAGUGACAAA
Long non-coding RNA from Centropristis striata (black sea bass), 3391 nucleotides. RefSeq lists it as uncharacterized. Lineage: Eukaryota; Metazoa; Chordata; Actinopteri; Perciformes; Serranidae. The transcript has 5 exons. The record is from RefSeq and is a predicted model, not a curated record.